UAUAAGUUCAUAGAUAUUAUUGCUUGAUAGAUCAAUGAUGAGGAAUACUAUAUUUAGCUGAUAUAAAAUAAAAAUGAUGGCUAUAAUUAUAUAUUAAUGUUAGUCAAUUUUAAAAACAUACACACCAAAAAAAAAAUUAUAUCCCCUCUCCUGUCUUUAAUUAGUAUUUUAUUUAAUCUAACAAAAAAUUAAUGAAAUUGGCCAUGCUUUUAUUUUUCUGAUCCUACGCUCUAUCAGGUACAAGGAAUUUCCUUAGUCACAUUAGUUUCUUCAAAGAUUGGGACAUUUAUUACCAAAAAAUUUAAAAAAUAAUCAAAGAAGUUAGACAAUGCUAGAUUUCUCAUCCCAUCA
This 351-nucleotide long non-coding RNA is filed under the name Elaeis guineensis (African oil palm). RNAcentral's name for it is "long non-coding RNA (EGUI_LNC033934)". Lineage: Eukaryota; Viridiplantae; Streptophyta; Magnoliopsida; Arecales; Arecaceae. The record is from RNAcentral.